RNAcentral lists this ribosomal RNA (437 nucleotides) under uncultured archaeon. Its description in RNAcentral is "partial 16S ribosomal RNA". The record is from RNAcentral.
UCCUUUAAGUUUCAGUCUUGCGACCGUACUCCCCAGGCGGCUAGCUUAACGGCUUCCCUGCGACACUUCAUUCGCGACUUGCGAAUGAAUCAUCUAGCUAGCAUCGCUUACGGCUGGGACUACCCGGGUAUCUAAUCCGGUUCGCUCCCCCAGCUUUCAUCCCUCACCGUCGAGCGCGUUCUGGCGGACCGCCUUCGCCACUGGUGGUCUUCCGCGGAUCAAAGGAUUUUACCCCUACACGCGGAGUACCGCCCGCCUCUCCCGCCUCCUAGUCCCGCGGUAUCCUCUGCAGGUCAACCGUUAAGCGGUUGGAUUUAACAGAGGACCUACGGAACCGGCUACGGAUGCUUUAGGCCCAAUAAUCGCCCCGACCACUCGAGGAGCUGGUAUUACCGCGGCGGCUGACACCAGGCUUGCCCUCCCCUUAUUCGCCUGCC